GAUUGUUUUUUCUUCCUCACAUCCUGACUCCUGGUAGGAGGCUACCCAUCAGGAUCUAUUUUGCCUUGUGGCGAGGUUGCAGGAUUGGGAAAUGCUCUGAAAGGACAAUUGCAUAGGCAAUGAGGAAGAAUGGAAGAACAGGAUGUUCAUCGCGAAUGUACAAUGUUCCAAUCAUACAGGCUGCUUGUUGUUGAAUAGAGAUGAUGAUCUCCAGAAAAUUUGGAGCAGAAUUCAGAAAAAGGGGAACUGUGUUUUGCUGGCUGGGUCAACAUUUGUUACACAUCCUUAAUUACCCCUGGGAGGUUGGUAUGAGGUGCCUUCUUGCACUACUGCAGCCCAAGUCAUAAUACGGCAAGGUCCCACAGUCAUCCACGCUUUCCAAAAUUCUGAAGGAACUGAGCAAUUCAGUCUGCAUCAAUGAAGUCACACCAGCAACAACAUUUCAAGUCCAGUAUGACGCUUCUUUUGAACUGGCUGGUUUACCCACUGAAGAUUUUUAUUUUAGGGUAAUGCAGAUGAAUCCACUAGCUUUCAGAAUGUAAAUUUUGACCUGUCUCUGAUUUCACUUGCCAGUGCAUUUUCAAAUGUUCUCCUUCACUAACAUUAACCUGAAGCUGCACUGAAGAAAAUGUUUUAAUCCCUUGAUUUGGUGAAAGCCUGGCACUCUCUACAGCAAUUGAUGCAGGUAAGUUUGUGUUAGAGCUCUGCUGGUUCAGUAGCACAUUUUCAGUUGGGCCUGGUGCAACUCCUGCCAUGAUCUAAUCUGUCCACGGUGAACUACACCUGUUGAGAUUGCUGGAGCAAAUUACUGUUGGUGCUGGAUUCUGUACUGACAACAACAAAUGCUGGAGAUCACAGCAGGUUAGACAGCAUUCGUGAAGGGAGAGCAAGCCAAUGUUUCAUGUCUAGAUGACUCUUCAUCAUGAAAAUGUUAGUAUUUAUUGUAAAGGUUCCGAUAGCUGGACAUUUUGGAUAAUGAUUGUAUUUGCAGAGUCAAAGUAGAUUUAGAAAAGGAAAAAAAUGUUUAUGAAAUCUAUUGGAGUUUUAGGAUAAUGUAUCAACCAGGAAACUUAAGUCCAUCUCAUGGAUGUUGUGUAUUGGGAUUUUGAGCAGCUUUUUGAUCAGGUGUCAUAUAAAUGGAUUUUUAUAAAAUUCACACACUUGGGAUUAGUGUUAAUAUUUUGCAUGCAUUGCUUUUUCAAUGAAAGGGAACAAAUAGGA
Non-coding RNA from Chiloscyllium plagiosum (whitespotted bambooshark), 1221 nucleotides. Lineage: Eukaryota; Metazoa; Chordata; Chondrichthyes; Orectolobiformes; Hemiscylliidae. The record is from RefSeq and is a predicted model, not a curated record.